Molecule: long non-coding RNA, 801 nt
Organism: Homo sapiens (human)
Lineage: Eukaryota; Metazoa; Chordata; Mammalia; Primates; Hominidae
Gene: FZD10-AS1
Product: FZD10 antisense divergent transcript
Source: Ensembl
GCGUCGCCCGCCAGCCCCGGGACAGCCCGCCUGGCGCGCGGGGCUCUGCGCGCUGCGACCCUCCCCGGCAGUCCCGCCCGCCUCUCCUCGCCCUCUCUCUGCCUGGCCUCCAACUUUGCCUCUCGCUAUCCUCUCCGCCGGCGCCCCCUUUCCCGGCGGUCCCCGGGAUGGUCCCCGGCACCCCGAGGACGCCGAGGUUACGGGAAGUUCGGGGACUGGCGGGAGAAGGGGUUUGGGGGUGGUCCGCGGCGAGGGGCGCGGGGUGCAUCUUCUCUUCCUUUUAUGGGCUGCCACACUUGUGUAUCCCUUCUUCCUUGAAUUUAACCAGGAGUGAGCAGUGGACAGCUUCUUCCCUAUGAGAAGGAGGUGAAGCAGGACCUGAAAUCCCGUGCUCAGCUCCCACAUGCCCCGUGUCCAGGACAAGUCCUUUGCUGAAUCAGCGGCAGACACCACCCGGAGCCCUGCGGGAGCCUUUCCCUGUUCUUCCAGCAUGGAUCUGAAACUCCCUUCCCACUUUCUGCAGCCUCCCAGAGAUAGUUCAGGCUCCAGCCUCAUGUGAUAGCAUGAAGAGAAACUGGUUCCAACAGCUGUGUGCUCUGCUGCCCUCAUCCCAAACAACAGUUUAAAUGCACAAUUACGCUUUUCUCUAAGGCCCAAAAUAGGAUAGGAAAGAUCGUUUUGCUAUCCCUGAAUGCCUGUCACCCUUGUUUCGUAAGGUAAGAUUGGGAAGGGCUUGGCCAUUGCCCUUGCAGCUGAGAAACCAACUUUAGGAAUAAAGACACUCUCUCCAUGUCUGACAAA